Molecule: ribosomal RNA, 484 nt
Filed under: uncultured bacterium
Lineage: Bacteria
Description: partial 16S ribosomal RNA
Rfam family: Bacterial small subunit ribosomal RNA
Source: RNAcentral
AUUGAACGCUGGCGGCAGGCCUAACACAUGCAAGUCGAGCGGCAGAAGAGUACUUGCUCCUGGUUUCGGCGGCGGACGGGUGGGUGGGUCAGGGAAAUAUCCCUAGUUAUUUUUUCUAACGUCCGAAAGCGGGGACACAUACCCCAAUAGUGCUGAGGACCAAAGGGUGGGAUCUUCGGACCUCACGCUAUCAGGUGAUCCUAGGUCGGAUUAGCUAGUUGGUGGGGUAAAGGCCUACCAAGGCGACGAUCCGUAACUGGUCUGAGAGGAUGAUCAGUCACACUGGAACUGAGACACGGUCCAGACUCCUACGGGAGGCAGCAGUGGGGAAUAUUGGACAAUGGGCGAAAGCCUGAUCCAGCCAUGCCGCGUGUGUGAAGAAGGUCUUCGGAUUGUAAAGCCCUUUUGGUUGGGAAGAAGGGCAGUAAGUUAAUACCUCGCUGUUUUGACGGUACCAACAGAAUAAGCACCGGCUAACUUCGUG